AGAAAUCAUAUAAUUUUAAUAUUGGUAUUCCUUCUCUUUUCCUUUUUGUAUAACUUUUUAGAAUAAUCUGAACCGUCAAUCUUUAAUCCUAAGGCUAAGAUGAUUUUAACUGAGAAACCCUAGUCAUUUCCUUGUCUCUCUCUUCCUCUCUUUCUCUGCGAUGGUAGAGCCAAGAUUUGACUCUAUCUCUAUUUUUAACCAAGUUUUGACAUCCACAGCCCAAGACUAGAACCUUGCGUGCCUAUUUCGAACAAAGGAGAUCUCUUUUCGCUUUUAUUUUUGCUUGUUUGUAGAUGCAUUGCUAUUUUUUCACCCCAAAACAAAUCGAAUCCUCACAUAGCAGUCGGUAAUAUCACUGUUUUGGGCAUUUCUAUGGCGUAUCUCUGCCAUAUUAAAAGGGUUUGACGAUCGUUCGAGAUUGCGGAGUAGAGGCCGGAGAUAUCAGACCUUGAUGCGACCCUAGUUCCUGCACCACAAAAUGUUCUGAGGUAGGUUCAUCUGACUAUCAGACCGGUGCGCGUCCCUGAUCAUAGUCCGAGACUUUCACGAUGAGUUGCUUCCCUUUGUGUGCCGAUCAGCAGCUGGAUGGAGUCUUCCUUACUUUUGACUGUCUAUUCUAUUUCACACAGUAGGAUAGAUGUAUUAUUUUAUAUAUUCUACUAGUUGCCCACAGCUUGUGACACCAUGUCUUGACACACACAUAUAGACGUUUCUUUUGGAUUGUUUAAUUAUUAUUGAAUGUUGCAUGUUAU
Molecule: long non-coding RNA, 752 nt
Organism: Nicotiana tabacum (common tobacco)
Lineage: Eukaryota; Viridiplantae; Streptophyta; Magnoliopsida; Solanales; Solanaceae
Source: RefSeq, a predicted model, not a curated record